AAAGAUGACAUGUGGCAUAAAAUAAAGUUUUACAUUUUAAUAUUACUUAUUUUCGAAAAUUGUAAAAAAUAUGUAAACAUACAGCAUAAAAAAUGAAAAAACUACAUUAAACAUAUGUAAGAUUAUUAUUUUUCACUUAAAAAAAGACGGCUUAUCUCCAUAAUGUAACAUUACCGUUUUAUGGCGUCCACAUCAGCGGAAAAAAUUUCUGCCGAAAUAUGACAUGUGGCAUAAAAUAAAGUUUUACAUUUUAAUAUUACUUAUUUUCAAAAAUUGUAAAAAAUAUGUAAACAUAGAACAUAAAAAAUGAAAAAACUACAUUAAACAUAUGUAAGAUUAUUAUUUUUCACUUAAAAAAAAAGACGGCUUAUCUCCAUAAUGUAACAUUACCGUUUUAUAAAAAAACAAAAAAAAUUAUAUAUAAUUUCGAAAAUAAUAAAUAUAUGUAAAACAUACAACAUAAAAAUUGAAAUACUACAUUAAACAUAUUUGUCUAAGUUCUUCUAUUAAACAUUGCCGUUUUACAUUAAAAAUGGAAAAAUACAUAAAUAUUUAAACAUCUAUCUUAAAAUAUAAAAUAUAGACAUUAACUAAAUAUAAAGUAUAAGAAAGAUAAAUACUCAAUAUAUAUAAAAAUAAAUAAUAAGUAAAUAUUAUAAAUAUACGAAUUAUAUAUACAAUAAUAAGUAAAUGCACAAUUUUAAAAAAAUGGAAAGAGUACAUUAAAUAUUAAACAUCUAUCUUAAAUGUAAAAUAUAGAUAUUAAGUAAAUAGAAAGUAUAAGAAAAAGAAAUACACAACUUAAAAACAAUGGAAAAAGUAUAUUAAGAUUUAAACUUCUCAUAAAAAUGGAAAAACUACAUUAAACAUAUGUAAGAUUACCAUUUUUCACUAAAAAAAAGACGGCUUAUCUCCAUAAUGUAACAUUA
This 929-nucleotide long non-coding RNA is filed under the name Brassica rapa (field mustard). Its description in RNAcentral is "long non-coding RNA (BRAP_LNC001507)". The record is from RNAcentral. Lineage: Eukaryota; Viridiplantae; Streptophyta; Magnoliopsida; Brassicales; Brassicaceae.